UUCCGGCCAGGUGUCUCCCGUCGCCAUAGUGACACAGACACAACAACCAAGGAGGGAGCCGCACCAGGAGCCGCACCAGGAGCCCCACAGGGCACAGGGCACAGGGCUCCAGUCAGCUCCACUAACGGAAGGGCUGCUGGAAGCCAAUCUGCAGCCACGCCUCUGCGUCCACGAAGCAGGAGCCCACACUCCACUCUCGAGGACCACGGAACCCGUGGGGCCACUGUAACUAGGCACCACAGACCUGUGGACAACAGGCCUGUUUCUCAGCAGUCCGGGAGCGGGGCGUCAAGAUUGGGGUGCUCGCCCACGGAGCCCGUCCCGCCACAGGUGCGCACCAAGUCCCCUCCCGUGUCCCCUACAAGGACCGCAAUCGCCGAUCCCACUCACAAGGGCUCCCCUGGCCGUCCGGAGCCCCAGCCCCCGAAACCGUCACCACGGGGGCUGGGUUGUGAGUUGUGAGGAGACCCCCGCAUUCAGGGCGCAGCCACCGCUGACAGCGCCAACCAGGAGGGGUUCACGGACCCGUGGCCUCCCGCUGGGGAGCCGGGACCGGAACCAGCUCGGGACCACAGCCGCGCAGACCACGGGAGGUGCCGGAGAGCGAAGACCCCGCGCCGGGUGGGCUGAGGGGCCGGGAUGUCUCUCGUCACCCCGAACCUGGGAGUUCCCCGUCCCGGUCUCUGCAGAUGCCGGUCCUGUGCUCUCCCCGUGGCUCUGGAGUCCCCUGCCCCCACGAGCGCCUGUGUGUCUUCCGUGUCCGUGACUCACUCUGGGUAUUUCCCGCUGGCCCGUCUCCAGCCCACACGCUGUCUGCUCGGCUGUGUCUAAACUGUGUCACACCCUUUCACUGGGCCCGAGAUUUGUGCUUAUUGUAAUGGUUGGGAGAUGUACUUAAUCGUCACUGCUAUUUCUUUGCUGCAAUUCUGAAUCUCGCCUUUGUUUGUCUUCUGUGUCCUUCAGCAAUGUCGCAAAUGUUGACCUCUGCCUCCGGGAGCCCCUGUGUCUGGACCCAGCGUGCAGACGCUCCAUUGCCCGUCCUCUCUCUCGCUGACGCAUCCAGCACUCCGUGAUGCCUGCCACGGCCAAGUGGGAGGGAAGGAAAGGUCGCAGCGGUGGGCGUCAACGCCUCCUAACACGACCGCCCUCUGGCUCCUGGAGGAGAAGCCCUGGAGAAUCAACACAACGUCCUCCGCAAAGACACGGCUUCCGAACCUUCCGGCCUCGUUGCUGUCCACCCCCUGCGGAAAAGAACCAUCCCUGGAUCGGGACCUCAGGGGCCCCUCACACAUGGGGCUCGGCUGACGGUGACGGGAAGGUCUCUCGGCUGCACCGUCGCCGUAAAGACCCUGAUGAGUCCAACCGUCUCCUGUCAUUAACCACAGACCAUGAAACUCGUCUGUUCGGAAGCCCCAAACGUUUGCACACUCUGGCUCACAACUCCUCCUCCUGAAUUAGUGUAGAAGUAAUCGGGAGUGCCCACUGGGUUCAUGCAGAAAGACGUUCGUUGCCAAGUUCGCAGUAAUGAAGAAAACUCACGACCUCUCCCGCCGAGCCCGCUCUGGCAUUGUAAUAAAACGCACACCGGGAAAUAGCGUUGCCGCACUUAGCACUUAGUAAACCUCAGCGCUUCAUAAACAAUUCAGUAGAAAUUUU
Molecule: long non-coding RNA, 1656 nt
Organism: Panthera uncia (snow leopard)
Lineage: Eukaryota; Metazoa; Chordata; Mammalia; Carnivora; Felidae
Exons: 2
Source: RefSeq, a predicted model, not a curated record